This 2415-nucleotide long non-coding RNA is filed under the name Gossypium barbadense (sea-island cotton). Its description in RNAcentral is "long non-coding RNA (GBAR_LNC022603)". The record is from RNAcentral. Lineage: Eukaryota; Viridiplantae; Streptophyta; Magnoliopsida; Malvales; Malvaceae.
AUCAAAAUUGCAAUACGAAUUAAAAAGGGUAACAAAAUAAUGUAAAAUGGUAAUACAGGUGAAGCAUUAAAAUAAUAAAAUAAAAAGGAAUAGAAUACUAUGAUGACAAUGUUGAUAAUUAAAUUGCAAUAACAAAAUAAAUGAAGUAACUUAAAAUAAAAUAAAAUGGGAAAAAAUAUGCAUGAAAGGAAGUUAACAUAACUUGAAAAUAUAAUAAUUAAGAAAUAAUGAAGCAACAAAUAAGGAAAAUUAAAACUUCAACAAUAAUAAAACACACAAUUUUAAAAAAAAAUAAGAAUAAUCUAUUUAAUCUAUUUUUAAUGUAAAAAGGAUGAGGAAAUAAGACUAAAUAAAUAAAUACAUAAAAGUACAUGAAUGAAAUAAAUAUAGAAAAAAGGUUGAGAGAGUCGAAAUUGAGUGGCCCAGGGCAAAAUUGUAAUUUGGGAAGUACUUUAAGGCGGAUUUUAAAAAUAACAGAAAGAUAGAGCCAAUUGAGGGACUAAAAUGAAGCACACGCAAAAGUGCGUGGAUUAAAAUGGGAAUAUUCCCGUGCCAUUUAAACAGCGCCGUUCUUUAGGAUUAAAAUGAAAAAACAAUAAAAUCACAGGCUAAAUUUAAAGAAAUAAAAGAACUGAAUUGCAAACUAGCUAAAAAAGCAGAAAGACCAUAAUCAUAAAUAACCCAUUCAUCUAAAAUGCUCGGAUCCUCAAAGUGGGUUGGGUCGACGCGCGGAUCUUAAGGGUAAAACGACAUAGUUUUAAGGCUAUUAUGGCCAGCCCUAAAAGACGUCGUUUAAUGGGCUUAUAAAACUCAGAUUUUUUUAAAUUUUCAUUAUCCUCCUCCCUUUUCAAAAAAAAAAAACAAAGGAUUCUCUCUCAACCUCCCUUCUCCUCUCCAAGCGCCAGUCAUAGAGCGCCAUCGUCCAUCCACCGUACCGCCGCUGUGGCCGGUGGCCGACGACGAACAGAAUGGGCUUUUUAGCCCCGCUUUCAAAGAUUGGAAGGCCAAGCUUUCUCAACCCCAAAAGAUCGAAAGAAAAGGUCCAUCCCCCUCCCUUUUAGAUCUGAUUUUAACAACGAAAAAGAGACUUCCGACGACGAGACCGUGGGAUGAUUUCGGUGAGGCUUUCCUUCUUUUUAUCUUUUUUACUUUUCUUAUUAUUCGUAAGUAAAAAAAUGAAAUAAAAAAUAAAAAUAGAAUAAAACAAUAAUUUAAAACGAAAGUAGAAGUAAAAAAUCACCUCUGAAGUUUUGUUUUCUUUUUCUCUUUUUUUUUCUAAUGUGUGUAAAAAAUUUACAAAGAUGAAGUUCGGGUUUUUAUUGCCGGAUUAAACAACUCUUUGUUUCUAUUUUUUUGUUUGUUUCUGCUUGGUUCUUCUGCUGUUUUGCAUUGAUUUCUCUUUGCAGGUGUCAGAGGCGUGCGACGCGCGUGGAGGUGGCUAGCGUGCGGUGGCCAGGAGCAGGCCUAAAGGUGGCGGCCAGGAGCGGACCUAGGUGCAGCGCACCUAGGGUUAGGAGAAUUAGGGUUUUUCUGAUAAUGUUGGGUUUAAGCUAUUGGGCUAGGCUAGUUGGGCUUAAGUCUAUUUAAUUUUAUUUAGGCUGAGGUCUGUAAUGGUUUGGGUUUUAAUUUUUAUUUGGGUUGUCUGAUUUGGGUUUCAGGUUUUCUAUUAUUUAUUUGGUUCUGUUUGGGUAUUAUUGGGCCCGGACAAAAAUGGGCCAUUAUAGGCUGGUAAUGGGAUGUGGGGUGCAGAUGAAUAGUUAUGUUGCAGACGUUUUUUUUCUGCGGAAGCCAUUGCUUGCAUCCAAGCACUUCAGUUUGGAUAGAUCUGAAAUUGGUGUGCUUAUAGAAGAAAUCUUAUCUUUAGAUCUAACUUUUCAUUUUAUUUCAUUUUGACAUGCAGAUAGAUCAGUAAACACUGUAGCCCACAAGUUAGCAACAACGGGGUUUACAAAGGGAAACACUAUGUUCUAGGUUGAAGAGGUACCUGAAGACAUACUGGAGGUGGUGCAUCGUGAUAUGGCCCUUUAGUUUCUUCCACCAUGAUCCAUUACAUCAAUCUUUUCUGCUUCAUAUCAGGGAAUGAUGAACUCAACUUUACCAUUGGAUCGCCUUGUUGGUUUGAGGGCCCAUUUUGCUUUCUCACAUGAGAACUGGUAUCGUCAUCUUUGGUUUCGCCGAGGCUCAUUGUACUUUUUUGCUUUUUUGUUUUGCGUUUUGUUUCAGUCAGUUUCAUAUUUGCUGUUUGUUUUAUUGCUUGUUUUGAGUACAACUGUGUGAAGGGUUCCAGAGUGUGAAGGGGACAGAGACACGUGGUUGGUUGAUGUUUUUGUUAAUUAAAAAAAUUACCCACAUCUUCUUUUUUGUGCAACAUGGUCUAACGUGCAAUACAUGUCCAUUUCAUGAAACUAACUUCCC